This 253-nucleotide ribosomal RNA is filed under the name uncultured bacterium. RNAcentral's name for it is "partial 16S ribosomal RNA". It matches the Rfam family "Bacterial small subunit ribosomal RNA", at positions 524 to 776 of the family's 1533-position model. The record is from RNAcentral.
UACAGAGGGUGCAAACGUUGCUCGGAAUUACUGGGCGUAAAGCGCGCGUAGGCUGACACGCAAGUCGGGUGUGAAAUCCCAGGGCUCAACCUUGGAACUGCAUUCGAAACUGCGUGUCUUGAGUACUGGAGAGGGAAGCGGAAUUCCGGGUGUAGAGGUGAAAUUCGUAGAUAUCCGGAGGAACACCAGUGGCGAAGGCAGCUUCCUGGACAGUAACUGACGCUGAGGCGCGAAAGCGUGGGGAGCAAACAGG